ACAGCAGGGGAAGACUGAGGUGACCCCGGCCGCUCAGGGUCUGCAAGCCUAAAAGGAGGGACCCAGGACCCACCACAGACCCGCUGGACCCCAAGGGCCAGGGAGCGAUUCUGGCCCUGGCGAGUGACCUGGCCUACCAGACCCUCCCGCUCAGGGCCCUGGAUGUGGACAGCGGCCCCCUGGAAAACGUGUAUGAGAGCAUCCGGGAGCUGGGGGACCCUGCUGGCAGGAGCAGCACGUGCGGGGCUCGGACGCCCCCUGCUUCCAGCUGCCCCAGCCUAGGGAGGGGCUGGAGACCCCUCCCUGCCCUGAACACUCAAGGACCUGUGCUCCUUCCUCCAGAGUGAGGCCCGUCCCCCGCCCCGCCCCGCCUCACAGCUGACAGCGCCAGUCCCAGGUCCCCGGGCUGCCAGCCCGUGAGGUCCGUGAGGUCCUGGCCGCUCUGACAGCCGCGGCCUCCCCGGGCUCCAGAGAAGGCCCGCGUCUAAAUAAAGCGCCAGCG
RNAcentral lists this long non-coding RNA (502 nucleotides) under Pan troglodytes (chimpanzee). RNAcentral describes it as "long non-coding RNA NONPTRT009050". The record is from RNAcentral. Lineage: Eukaryota; Metazoa; Chordata; Mammalia; Primates; Hominidae.